GAUGAACGCUAGCUACAGGCUUAACACAUGCAAGUCGAGGGGAAACGGCAUUGAGUGCUUGCACUCUUUGGACGUCGACCGGCGCACGGGUGAGUAACGCGUAUCCAACCUUCCCAUUACUGUGGGAUAACCUGCCGAAAGGCAGACUAAUACCGCAUAGUCUUCGAUGACGGCAUCAGAUUUGAAGUAAAGAUUUAUCGGUAAUGGAUGGGGAUGCGUCUGAUUAGCUUGUUGGCGGGGUAACGGCCCACCAAGGCGACGAUCAGUAGGGGUUCUGAGAGGAAGGUCCCCCACAUUGGAACUGAGACACGGUCCAAACUCCUACGGGAGGCAGCAGUGAGGAAUAUUGGUCAAUGGACGGAAGUCUGAACCAGCCAAGUAGCGUGCAGGAUGACGGCCCUAUGGGUUGUAAACUGCUUUUGUAUGGGGAUAAAGUUAGGGACGUGUCCCUAUUUGCAGGUACCAUACGAAUAAGGACCGGCUAAUUCCGUGCCAGCAGCCGCGGUAAUACGGAAGGCCCAGGCGUUAUCCGGAUUUAUUGGGUUUAAAGGGAGCGUAGGCUGGAGAUUAAGUGUGUUGUGAAAUGUAGACGCUCAACGUCUGAAUUGCAGCGCAUACUGGUUUCCUUGAGUACGCACAACGUUGGCGGAAUUCGUCGUGUAGCGGUGAAAUGCUUAGAUAUGACGAAGAACUCCGAUUGCGAAGGCAGCUGACGGGAGCGCAACUGACGCUUAAGCUCGAAGGUGCGGGUAUCAAACAGG
This 761-nucleotide ribosomal RNA is filed under the name Prevotella melaninogenica. Its description in RNAcentral is "bacterial SSU rRNA". It matches the Rfam family "Bacterial small subunit ribosomal RNA", at positions 28 to 776 of the family's 1533-position model. The record is from RNAcentral. Lineage: Bacteria; Pseudomonadati; Bacteroidota; Bacteroidia; Bacteroidales; Prevotellaceae.